Molecule: unclassified non-coding RNA, 368 nt
Filed under: soil metagenome
Description: partial contains 5.8S ribosomal RNA, internal transcribed spacer 2, and large subunit ribosomal RNA
Rfam family: 5.8S ribosomal RNA (bases 1-120)
Source: RNAcentral
GAUGAAGAACGCAGCGAAAUGCGAUAAGUAAUGUGAAUUGCAGAAUUCAGUGAACCAUCGAAUCUUUGAACGCACAUUGCGCCCGACAGUAAUCUGCCGGGCAUGCCCGUCCGAGCGUCAUUUCUGCCCUCGAGCGAGUCCAGCAUCUAGGUGCUGGGCCCGCCCGGCGUUGGGGCACUACGGGAAGCCCUGUGCUGUCCCCCGUAGGCCCCGAAAUGAAGUGGCGGUCCUGCCGCGGCGCCCCCUGCGUAGUAUAACAGCUCGCUUCGGGACCCGGUGGAGGCCUGCCGUCAAACCUUACUCUCUAAGUUUGACCUCGGAUCAGGUAGGGUUACCCGCUGAACUUAAGCAUAUCAAUAAGCGGAGGA